This 301-nucleotide ribosomal RNA is filed under the name uncultured bacterium. Its description in RNAcentral is "partial 16S ribosomal RNA". It matches the Rfam family "Bacterial small subunit ribosomal RNA", at positions 509 to 807 of the family's 1533-position model. The record is from RNAcentral.
CAGUCGCCGCGGGAAUACGUAGGUGGCAAGCGUUGUCCGGAAUUAUUGGGCGUAAAGCGCGCGCAGGUGGUUUAAUAAGUCUGAUGUGAAAGCCCACGGCUCAACCGUGGAGGGUCAUUGGAAACUGUUAAACUUGAGUGCAGGAGAGAAAAGUGGAAUUCCUAGUGUAGCGGUGAAGUGCGUAGAGAUUAGGAGGAACACCAGUGGCGAAGGCGGCUUUUUGGCCUGUAACUGACACUGAGGCGCGAAAGCGUGGGGAGCAAACAGGAUUAGAUACCCCUGUAGUCCCUGUCUCUUAUAC